GAAAUCCCAUUUUGUUUGUACGCCGUUCUAGAUAAAUGGAAAGAGUGAAGGAGGUUGUUCUCUCCCUCGCAAUCUCAAUCCUCUCUCCUGUGAGGACGGACUAUGUCUUCUUUGUCUCUCACAUUCUUCACCGCUUUGUCAAGGGUUUCUUCCGUUCCGUUAUCGUCUUCUCUCAACCUCAACCUCAACGUCCCGCCUCCUUUUUCUCUAUCGUUUCAAUCCGGCCCGCGUAGGUUCGCUUCUUUCAAGCUCAAAGCAAUGUCUAAGAUGCUUCAGGAUGUCGAGUCCACUCAGAAGGCUAUCGUGGCUACCAGUUCUGCUCAAGACAAAGACAAGAAGUCUUCCUCCGGCGAGGUGAACCACUCGCGUACUUUUCUUGAUGUUCGUACUGAACAAGAACUCUUAUCUGGAAUUAACAAGGAAACUGAAGCAGGAAGGCUGUCUUCAAAUCUUGCAGCAUUGAUGGAAGAGUUGUAUCACAAUUAUAAAAAAACAGUCUUCAGCAGUGGAAAGCCUGGGGCUGAUGAGCUUGUAGUGUCAAACAUGGCUGUGACAUUUGAUCGUGUACUUUUAGAUAUGGAGGAGCCAUUUGAGUUUCAGCCAUAUCACAAAGCAUUGAGAGAGCCGUUUGACUAUUACAUGUUUGGUCAAAAUUAUAUUCGUCCUUUGAUUGAUUUCAGCAAUUCAUAUGUUGGCAACAUCUCCUUUUUCUAUGAAAUGGAACAGAAGCUUCAGCAGGGCCACAAUAUUGUAUUGAUCUCUAACCACCAAACUGAAGCAGACCCUGCUAUCAUUGCUUUGCUGCUCGAAUCAACAAACCCCUAUAUUUCAGAGAACCUGAUUUAUGUAGCAGGCGACAGAGUUUUAACUGAUCCUCUUUGCAAGCCCUUCAGCAUGGGAAGGAAUUUAAUAUGUGUAUACUCAAAGAAGCACAUGUUGGAUGCCCCUGAGCUUAUUGAGAUGAAAAGAAAAGCCAAUACACGAAGUUUGAAAGAGAUGGCGUUGCUUUUAAGGGGUGGGUCACAAAUAAUAUGGAUAGCUCCAAGUGGUGGUAGAGAUCGUCCUGAUCCUGUUACUGAAGAAUGGCAUCCAGCACCCUUUGAUGCUUCUUCAGUUGACAACAUGAGAAGGGUUGCAGAACAUUCUGGUACACCAGGACAUAUAUAUCCCUUAGCCCUAUUGUGCUAUGAUAUCAUGCCCCCUCCACGCCAGGUAGAAAAAGAAAUUGGAGAGAGAAGGGCGGUAUCCUUCCAUGGGGUUGGAUUAUCAGUGGCACCAGAAAUCAGCUUCUCUGAUAUUGCUUCUACUUUUGAAAAUCCUGAAGAGGCCAAAGAAGCUUAUACACAAGCACUGUAUAAUUCUGUGAACGAACAGUACAAUGUGCUGAAAUCUGCUAUACAUGGAAAACAAGGACUAAAGGCAUCAAUUACAAGUGUGUCUUUGUCACAGCCAUGGAAUUAGUCAAAACUUUUGGAUCUGUAUGUCCUGGCUUCGUUAAUGAUUUGGCUGCGGAUAAGUUAAUACUGGUGUACUGCAAGAGGAAAGCCUCAAUAGUCACUGAUGAUUUUUUUACUGGAGAUCACAUCUCGCAGAGUGUCUCAUUUAACCUGUCCUGAGUCCAUCAGAAUUGAAGCUGCUGCCCCAAAAAUGCAAUUUCAGCGACUAGUUGUAGGAUACGCUAUCAAGUACAUCCUCUGUCCGCUAUGUAUCAAGGAAAGCAAAUAGACUUUUCAUCUCAAGAUAGUGAGAAGACCUAUGUUCUAAAGUAAAUACACCAAUAUCUUCAAAGAAGAUUUUCUUAUUUUCCUCCUUGCAACAAGGGAAGACAUCUGUCAUUGCAAAUAUUUCUUUUUUAGUUCACAUAGAGUAGUGAUAUAUCCAUAGAACCAUAUUUGAAUUACGAAUUUCAAAUAUUGUUAUUUGAAUGUAACUUAUUAUAGGAGAAGGGAGACCAGAAUUUAUUUAGACUCACUAGUAGAUCACCUCGUUGCUUGUUCCUACACAUCAUUUUUUGUUAUACUAUGAGCUUAGGUUUUCUGAUCA
Mangifera indica (mango) is the source of this 2043-nucleotide RNA transcript. It is a transcript of the gene named glycerol-3-phosphate acyltransferase, chloroplastic-like, with no coding region annotated. NCBI's taxonomy places the organism in Eukaryota, Viridiplantae, Streptophyta, Magnoliopsida, Sapindales, Anacardiaceae. The record is from RefSeq and is a predicted model, not a curated record. The transcript is spliced from 14 exons.